RNAcentral lists this ribosomal RNA (558 nucleotides) under uncultured bacterium. Its description in RNAcentral is "bacterial SSU rRNA". It matches the Rfam family "Bacterial small subunit ribosomal RNA", at positions 353 to 903 of the family's 1533-position model. The record is from RNAcentral.
AGUGGGGAAUUUUGGACAAAUGGGCGAAAGCCUGAUCCAGCAAUGCCGCGUGAGUGAAGAAGGCCUUCGGGUUGUAAAGCUCUUUUGUCAGGGAAGAAACGGUGAGAGCUAAUAUCUUUUGCUAAUGACGGUACCUGAAGAAUAAGCACCGGCUAACUACGUGCCAGCAGCCGCGGUAAUACGUAGGGUGCAAGCGUUAAUCGGAAUUACUGGGCGUAAAGCGUGCGCAGGCGGUUUUGUAAGUCUGAUGUGAAAUCCCCGGGCUCAACCUGGGAAUUGCAUUGGAGACUGCAAGGCUAGAAUCUGGCAGAGGGGGGUAGAAUUCCACGUGUAGCAGUGAAAUGCGUAGAUAUGUGGAGGAACACCGAUGGCGAAGGCAGCCCCCUGGGUCAAGAUUGACGCUCAUGCACGAAAGCGUGGGGAGCAAACAGGAUUAGAUACCCUGGUAGUCCACGCCCUAAACGAUGUCUACUAGUUGUCGGGUCUUAAUUGACUUGGUAACGCAGCUAACGCGUGAAGUAGACCGCCUGGGGAGUACGGUCGCAAGAUUAAAACUCA